Non-coding RNA from Lupinus albus (white lupine), 1273 nucleotides. The record is from the annotation of a GenBank genome assembly. NCBI's taxonomy places the organism in Eukaryota, Viridiplantae, Streptophyta, Magnoliopsida, Fabales, Fabaceae.
CCGCCAAACCAAUAGAACAAGGGUUAGCUCUGCAGCUGGUCCACAGUAAGUAGGUCCAUUACCGGCCGGCUCCUAAGCUAGAAAAGACCUAACGGAGUAAUCCCUUAUCUCGGAUCGGAGAUGCUAACGGGGCAGGAAUCGAAGUGGGGGACCUCUCUACCGCCUGUGUCUAUCUCCUGUCAAGUAUGCUCCCCAGACAUAGACUACGUACAGGGUAGUACUCUUGGAUAUAAGAUCACCGCGUGAACAUAACAUUAAGUUACGAAUGUAACUCCCGAGGGAUCGACCACUAUUCUAACUAAAUAAAGUCAGGCGGAGAACUGUUGUUCAUUGGAGCGCCGGAGUGCGGAGGUUGUUCCCAUCAUUGAAGUCAGAGUGUGGGACUGAGCCUUCCGAAUGAUAAAGAAAAAAAAGUGCUUAGUUUCGUUGGAAAAACCAACGCAAAUAUCAUAUUGACUUUAUCUCGCCCAACUUCUAAGGAUAGAUAGAAAAGGUUGGAGAGAGUGACUUUCUGAACUGAAAUUCUCUCCUUUCUAAAGCUGCGCAAGGCGGCCCCACCCCCAGAACAAAGCCCCACCCCUCUUUUCCCCCCUUUAAUGAAAGACCCUCGCCCGCCCCGCUUCCUAUUCAUUUUUUGGUCGGGACCGAGGGCCUUUUUUUUUUUAUCAAGAGGUGAUUUCGAGAAUCAACCGGCAAAUCCGUAGCCCAGGUGACUCACAGCCUCCCUCUCGCCCAAAUUAAAUGGGAUGAAUCAAAUAAAAAAAAAGAAGCUUUUUGAUUGAUUCAGGGCGCAGCGAAAGAAAAUUCUUUCAAGGCAAAAGGGGGGGCUUACUUACUUGACUUUUCCUGACGCUGAGUCAUCCUAUUCUUAGCUAUGCUAAUCGAAGAGGAAAAGUUUUCAGAUGAUAUGGACCCCCAAGAGAUGGACGAGAACCUCCAAUUGCUUAGGGGUCGCACUCUAAAAAAACCCGCUUGGUGGACGAAAUCUUCUCUCCUUUUAGACUUCUUUCUCCCACACACCUUUGCCCUCUUUCACCGAAGAGGAAAGAAGAAUCUUCCAAGCGGACAGAGACCUAAAUUUCCAUUAGAUUCAUUCCUAAGCUUGCUUUGUUGCAGUAAGAUGAUCAGUCCGAGAGUGCUGGAGAGAAGAGAAAGCGGUAAAAACCCCUCUGAUUCGGUCACCGAGCAGUCGGACGACUCUUCAGUAACCCAGGAUGGGACGACCCCUUGCUCGCUUCUUUCGCUGUAUACCCCCUCCAUCCUUCGGAGGUGG